Molecule: non-coding RNA, 204 nt
Organism: Cinara cedri
Lineage: Eukaryota; Metazoa; Arthropoda; Insecta; Hemiptera; Aphididae
Source: the annotation of a GenBank genome assembly
AAUGUAUAAUAGAUAUUAGGAUUAGCUCGAGUUUAAUAAAUGUUCACUCGUUGGCUUAAACGUCGUUUUUAUCGAAAUAAACUGGUUGUUUGUAUUGCCCGGGCAAUGGGAAAUACAAUUUAUAAUUUCAAAUUGAACGAGCUCGAGUCGUAUAACAAUAACGUACCGAAAUAAAAAAAAUAAUAUAUAUAUAAUAAUUUGCGG